This 495-nucleotide ribosomal RNA is filed under the name uncultured bacterium. RNAcentral describes it as "partial 16S ribosomal RNA". It matches the Rfam family "Bacterial small subunit ribosomal RNA", at positions 28 to 507 of the family's 1533-position model. The record is from RNAcentral.
GAUGAACGCUGGCGGCGUGCCUAAUACAUGCAAGUAGAACGCUGAAGGAGGAGCUUGCUCUUCUGGAUGAGUUGCGAACGGGUGAGUAACGCGUAGGUAACCUGCCUGGUAGCGGGGGAUAACUAUUGGAAACGAUAGCUAAUACCGCAUGACAACAGUUAUUGCAUGAUAACUGUUUAAAAGGGGCAACUGCUCCACUACCAGAUGGACCUGCGUUGUAUUAGCUAGUUGGUGAGGUAACGGCUCACCAAGGCGACGAUACAUAGCCGACCUGAGAGGGUGAUCGGCCACACUGGGACUGAGACACGGCCCAGACUCCUACGGGAGGCAGCAGUAGGGAAUCUUCGGCAAUGGACGGAAGUCUGACCGAGCAACGCCGCGGGAGUGAAGAAGGGUUUCGGAUCGUAAAGCUCUGUUGUAAGAGAAGAACGAGUGUGAGAGUGGAAAGUUCACACUGUGACGGUAGCUUACCAGAAAGAGACGGCUAACUACGUG